This 820-nucleotide ribosomal RNA is filed under the name uncultured Moraxella sp. RNAcentral describes it as "bacterial SSU rRNA". It matches the Rfam family "Bacterial small subunit ribosomal RNA", at positions 52 to 873 of the family's 1533-position model. The record is from RNAcentral. Lineage: Bacteria; Pseudomonadati; Pseudomonadota; Gammaproteobacteria; Moraxellales; Moraxellaceae.
CACAUGCAAGUCGAACGAAGUUAGGAAGCUUGCUUCUGAUACUUAGUGGCGGACGGGUGAGUAAUGCUUAGGAAUCUGCCUAGUAGUGGGGGAUAACUUGGGGAACCCAAGCUAAUACCGCAUACGACCUACGGGUGAAAGGGGGCGCAAGCUCUCGCUAUUAGAUGAGCCUAAGUCGGAUUAGCUAGUUGGUGGGGUAAAGGCCUACCAAGGCGACGAUCUGUAGCUGGUCUGAGAGGAUGAUCAGCCACACUGGGACUGAGACACGGCCCAGACUCCUACGGGAGGCAGCAGUGGGGAAUAUUGGACAAUGGGCGAAAGCCUGAUCCAGCCAUGCCGCGUGUGUGAAGAAGGCCUUUUGGUUGUAAAGCACUUUAAGUGGGGAGGAAAAGCUUAUGGUUAAUACCCAUAAGCCCUGACGUUACCCACAGAAUAAGCACCGGCUAACUCUGUGCCAGCAGCCGCGGUAAUACAGAGGGUGCAAGCGUUAAUCGGAAUUACUGGGCGUAAAGCGCGCGUAGGUGGUUAUUUAAGUCAGAUGUGAAAGCCCCGGGCUUAACCUGGGAACUGCAUCUGAUACUGGAUAACUAGAGUAGGUGAGAGGGGAGUAGAAUUCCAGGUGUAGCGGUGAAAUGCGUAGAGAUCUGGAGGAAUACCGAUGGCGAAGGCAGCUCCCUGGCAUCAUACUGACACUGAGGUGCGAAAGCGUGGGUAGCAAACAGGAUUAGAUACCCUGGUAGUCCACGCCGUAAACGAUGUCUACCAGUCGUUGGGUCUUUUAAAGACUUAGUGACGCAGUUAACGCAAUAAGUAGACCGCC